This 1736-nucleotide long non-coding RNA is filed under the name Canis lupus familiaris (dog). RNAcentral describes it as "lncRNA (ENSCAFG00845000169.1)". The record is from RNAcentral. Lineage: Eukaryota; Metazoa; Chordata; Mammalia; Carnivora; Canidae.
AGCCUGAUCUGAUACAGAAGGUUGGUUAAGAUAAAAAAGGAAAAAAGAAGGUCCCAAUGUGAAGUAUAGCGUCUAAGUGUAUUACUCAAGAAACAUGGCAGACUUGCUUACCAAGAGGGUUGGAGUAUUUUAAAGUUAACUCUAGCAAAACACUCAUUUUCUCUAUUAGUCUGAGUAAUUUAUCUAAGUUGCAAAAACAAAUUGACCUUUUUUGAUCUAAUUGCCUACCUGAGUCAAUGAAUUUUUUAUCAAGAGACACUGAAACCAAAGAGGUUUUCCUUAAUAUUCUAGGAAUGCAUGGAUCACCUUGAAAAUCUCUGAAAAACUAAUAACAAGAAGCAAAGGGCUGAGUUCAUAAUUGUUUCCCUUUCUCUAAGCCAAAAUUGAUGGCCAGUAGGAAGGCAUUGAAAUCCAGUGCACACUGACACUAUUUAUAAGGUCUUGAUAUUUUAGACUUGUAGUGCACCAUUCAUCCUAGGAUCAUAAAAGUGGUUGUUAAAAUUUAUACCAUAUUAGUCUGAUUAACACUCAGAUGGGUAAAAAUAAAGGAUUGAAGAGAAAUAUUUAUUUCACAAGGGUAGGGACUUUAAUAUACAGAAAGCUGCAUAAAUCUGCAGAUGUUCUAAUUAGAUUCAGCUGAACUACUUCAGAAUGCAGGAUAACAUGGAUUUACUCUGCCAACAACUAAGAAUAACUUUUCUGAUGCAAAAAAUGUUCAAGUUUCAAUAUUGAAACAUAAAAUACCCCAGCCCAAGGGAUAGAUUCUUUUCACAUCAAUUUCCUCAUUGGCUCAGAUUCCUCCAGCACUUAAGUUACUUCUUUAUUAUAAGUCUUAAACAGAAUUCACUAAAUGGUACCCUAAUGGUACUCUUCCCAGGCCAUAGUACCUGGAAUCCUAUUUUCUGUUAAUAGUUAAAUGUUAACCUGAGAUCACUAGAAUACUGUCAAGCAAGUUAUGCACAUGGUGCUUAAUUUACAAUCAGGGAGUAGUUUAGGCAGUGAGAAAAUCUGGUUCUUAAAGAGGAUGACAUUAAGGAAUCAGGGGAUGUAUUUCACAGGGUAUUUUUGUCAGUCGAUUUCCAUUUUUUUCUUGAAUAUAUGUCAUUUUUUUAAUCUCAGGAAGUUAUUUCUGUGUGCUGGCAGGGUAAAUCUAUGUCGUUCUGCAUUUAGAAGUAGUUCAGCAAAUCUAAUCAGAGAAUUUGUUGGGGCCCAAGUUAUAGCCAGGGUGGGGCAUGAACCCUUCUCCUGCAUGGGUAUCCUCCUGGGUCCCCAAAGGCCUGGGAAUCCCUUUGGUAUCUACCCUGAAAGAGUUCCUUCAGCAUCAGAAGGCUUUAUACUUCCAGAGAACCUGGCUGUCAGAUCCAGCUGGGCAUUUUGAUUUAACCGUUUCAGCUCUUGGAAGGCCAAGUAAAGGAGAAUGUUCCUUUUUAAUGGAUGUCAAGGGGGAACAGGAGAGAUGCUUGUCUAGAACCUCAUGUCCCAUCAACUGCCUUUUAGACAAACCAAUCUUUGGUCAAUAUUCUCUCAAUUAUAUUUGAUAAGCCAACCUAUUCUCCUUAAUUAAAAUGUUGGCAGGCAGUCUUCAUGUGAAUUUAUGCCAAGGAUUUGUUAUAAUCUCCCUGUUUUGUGAUUUCUCAUUUUUAAUAGUGGAAGAAUAAUUUCAUAAACCCUUCUGAAGAAGAGUUUCUGUAAACAAUUUUAUCUCCUGCAUAAUCUUUUUGGAUCUCUGCAUAGUU